RNAcentral lists this ribosomal RNA (484 nucleotides) under uncultured bacterium. RNAcentral's name for it is "partial 16S ribosomal RNA". It matches the Rfam family "Bacterial small subunit ribosomal RNA", at positions 29 to 523 of the family's 1533-position model. The record is from RNAcentral.
AAUGAACGUUGGCGGCGUGGAUUAGGCAUGCAAGUCGUACGGGUCGGUGUAGCAAUACAACGGCAAGUGGCGAAAGGGAGAGUAACACGUAGAUACCUACCCUCUGGUCGGGGAUACCGCGGCAUAACCGCAAGUAAUACCCGAUAAAAUCUCCGGAUCAAAGGUGUGAUUCCGCCGGAGGAGGGGUCUGCGUUCUAUCAGCUUGUUGGUGAGGUAAUGGCUCACCAAGGCUAAGACGGAUACGGGGUGUGAGAGCAUGCCCCCGCUCACUGGGACUGAGACACUGCCCAGACACCUACGGGUGGCUGCAGUCGAGAAUCUUCGGCAAUGGGCGCAAGCCUGACCGAGCGACGCCGCGUGCGGGAUGAAGGCCUUCGGGUUGUAAACCGCUGUCGAGGGGAAUGAAGUGUAGGUGGGUACUCCCAUCUAUUUGACAGAUCCCUGGAGGAAGCAUGGGCUAAGUUCGUGCCAGCCGCCGCAGUAA